This 1070-nucleotide ribosomal RNA is filed under the name Rhabdammina discreta. Its description in RNAcentral is "partial 18S ribosomal RNA". It matches the Rfam family "Eukaryotic small subunit ribosomal RNA". Lineage: Eukaryota; Foraminifera; Astrorhizida; Astrorhizidae. The record is from RNAcentral.
CUUACCGGGUCCGGACACACUGAGGAUUGACAGGCAAUCAUGUGAAUUGCUUUUUUUUUUAUUAUUUUUUUAUUUWAAAAUAAAAAAAGUNUUCACACAUAAAUAUGCUAGUCCUUUCAUGAUUAUGUGAUAGGUGGUGCAUGGCCGUUCUUAGUUCGUGGAGUGAUCUGUCUGCUUAAUUGCGUUUCACCUGGACUUARAAUUUAAGUGUGUUUAUUUUUCUUGUAACUUGGGUCAAGUUUACGCUCUUUUUUUUUAAAUUGGGUUUUCUUGGGCGGUUACUUUAUUGAGUAAAUAAAUGCACAUUUAGUCCUGAAAGCAACGAACGUGACCGCAUCCUCUKGUUGCCUUUUAACUGAAGUUUUCUGUUUUUUWAUGGGUUUUUUUUUUUUUUUAAAUAAUAAACAUAAAUUUAGGCAGGCUUUUAACAUAAAGGCUUUCUUAAAAACUAGAGGGACCGCUGUGACUUUUUUAAACCAGAGGAAGGUUGCGGCAAUAACAGGUCUGUGAUGCCCUUAGAUGUUCCGGGCUGCACACGUGCUACAAUGAUUAUUGCAGUGAGCAUCUCAUUUUAUAGCACUGUUUUCAUUUUUCUUUUUUUAAUUUUAUUAACAUUUGAGAAUGAGCAGUCAAAGCCUGCUUCGAAAGUUCGCAGGUAAUCAAUUGGAAGUAAUGAUUUCCCUUAACUCAAAUUUGUUUUUGAUUUUGUGAGCACACAAUAUGCUGCUCCCCUCCCUGGCACUUAGCGAUUUUUGUCUAUUUGUCAUUGUGUGUGGGGAUGUUUCAGCAUGUGCUUUUUGUCAAUUCAUGGUGGGGACAGACCAUUGUUAAUUGUUGGUCUCGGUCUCAACUAGGAAUGCCUUGUACGGGUCUUUGGUUCAACAAACCACCCGGAAUACGUCCCUGCCCUUUGUACACACCGCCCGUCGCUCUUACCGAUGGACUUCUCUGUGAGUUUGAGGGACUGGGUACCUUAGCCUUUCUUUUGGCUAGAAACACUUAUGGAAACUUAAACGAACAGUGUGGUCUAAAGGAAAGAGAAGUCGUAACAAGGCAUCGGUAGGUGAACC